AGAGAGCUUGCUCUCGGGUGACGAGCGGCGGACGGGUGAGUAAUGUCUGGGAAACUGCCUGAUGGAGGGGGAUAACUACUGGAAACGGUAGCUAAUACCGCAUAACGUCGCAAGACCAAAGUGGGGGACCUUCGGGCCUCAUGCCAUCAGAUGUGCCCAGAUGGGAUUAGCUAGUAGGUGGGGUAAUGGCUCACCUAGGCGACGAUCCCUAGCUGGUCUGAGAGGAUGACCAGCCACACUGGAACUGAGACACGGUCCAGACUCCUACGGGAGGCAGCAGUGGGGAAUAUUGCACAAUGGGCGCAAGCCUGAUGCAGCCAUGCCGCGUGUAUGAAGAAGGCCUUCGGGUUGUAAAGUACUUUCAGCGAGGAGGAAGGCAUUAAGGUUAAUAACCUUGGUGAUUGACGUUACUCGCAGAAGAAGCACCGGCUAACUCCGUGCCAGCAGCCGCGGUAAUACGGAGGGUGCAAGCGUUAAUCGGAAUUACUGGGCGUAAAGCGCACGCAGGCGGUCUGUCAAGUCGGAUGUGAAAUCCCCGGGCUCAACCUGGGAACUG
Molecule: ribosomal RNA, 556 nt
Filed under: Klebsiella sp.
Lineage: Bacteria; Pseudomonadati; Pseudomonadota; Gammaproteobacteria; Enterobacterales; Enterobacteriaceae
Description: bacterial SSU rRNA
Rfam family: Bacterial small subunit ribosomal RNA
Source: RNAcentral